UACGUAGGGACCGAGCGUUGUCCGGAAUCAUUGGGCGUAAAGAGCGUGUAGGCGGCCACUUAAGUCCUGCGUGAAAUCUUGCGGCUCAACCGCAAGCGGUCGUGGGAAACUGGGUGGCUAGAGUGCGGGAGAGGAGAGUGGAAUUCCUGGUGUAGCGGUGGAAUGCGCAGAUAUCAGGAAGAACACCCGUGGCGAAGGCGGCUCUCUGGAACGCAACUGACGCUGAGACGCGAAAGCAUGGGGAGCGAGCAGG
Molecule: ribosomal RNA, 253 nt
Filed under: uncultured bacterium
Lineage: Bacteria
Description: partial 16S ribosomal RNA
Rfam family: Bacterial small subunit ribosomal RNA
Source: RNAcentral